GCUCCAAUAGCGUAUAUUUAAGUUGCUGCAGUUAAAAAGCUCGUAGUCGACUUUCGGGCGGGUUGCGCUGGUCCGCCUUUGGUGUGCACUGGCGUGUCCGCUUCUGCCGGGGACAGGCUCCUGGGCUUUACUGUCCGGGACCUGGAGUCGGCGCUGUUACCUUGAGUAAAUUGGAGUGUUCAAAGCAGGCAUACGCUAUG
Molecule: ribosomal RNA, 200 nt
Filed under: uncultured eukaryote
Lineage: Eukaryota
Description: partial 18S ribosomal RNA
Rfam family: Eukaryotic small subunit ribosomal RNA
Source: RNAcentral